AAAAUCACGUUGUGUGCCUUAC
Molecule: small nuclear RNA, 22 nt
Filed under: Arabidopsis thaliana (thale cress)
Lineage: Eukaryota; Viridiplantae; Streptophyta; Magnoliopsida; Brassicales; Brassicaceae
Description: snRNA_01839
Source: RNAcentral